Molecule: long non-coding RNA, 535 nt
Filed under: Apteryx rowi (Okarito brown kiwi)
Lineage: Eukaryota; Metazoa; Chordata; Aves; Apterygiformes; Apterygidae
Description: lncRNA (ENSARWG00000007186.1)
Source: RNAcentral
GCGGCUCCCGGGCCGCCCCCGCCGGGGCGGGGCGGGGCAGGGCAGCGCCGGGGACGAGCUGUCUGCCCGCCCUGACCUCUAGCCUGGGCGGGCGGCGUCCUUCCUCCUCUUCCUCCAGCUGCUCUCCUGGGAGCGCGAAUGUAGGUCGCGUGAGGCGCGGUUCAAAUCUAACGAGUUCAGGUAAAACGGCUGAAAGAACGAGGAGAGGAGGAAACGCGCUCUCUUCUUCCAGGAUGCAGUCCUGGUCUUACUGAAGUGAAUUGCAGAGCUCCCGUACCUACAGUUCUUCUUAAGGUUGGCCAGGUCCCCUGGAGCACACUACCAGAGGUCUUUUUAUAGGUACUUACUGAGUCCUCCUGCAGUUUACACUGUAUACAUGAUCCACUUCCGGAUACCUCAUAUAUCUGAGGUAAGAUCUAGGCUAUUUCAAAUUCUACACUCAAGUAAUUCUGAGGUAAAAUCAUUACACCCAAGGUGAGUUGUUUCCUUCAAGUGCAGUUAAUAUUGCACUACAAUAAUAAUUUUUAUUAUUCUU